This 33-nucleotide ribosomal RNA is filed under the name Donax trunculus (truncated wedgeshell). RNAcentral describes it as "partial 18S ribosomal RNA". The record is from RNAcentral. Lineage: Eukaryota; Metazoa; Mollusca; Bivalvia; Cardiida; Donacidae. RNAcentral also lists the same sequence under 2 other names.
GUUUCCGUAGGUGAACCUGCGGAUGGAUCAUUG